Long non-coding RNA from Hemibagrus wyckioides, 959 nucleotides. RefSeq lists it as uncharacterized. The transcript has 3 exons. Lineage: Eukaryota; Metazoa; Chordata; Actinopteri; Siluriformes; Bagridae. The record is from RefSeq and is a predicted model, not a curated record.
CACCUCCACACGUUCCUCUCUCACAGAGCAGCUCCACCAGACCUUCAGGAAACAUCUGGCUCUGGUGGAUCUGCUGAAGGGCUUCAGAAAACCACAACUGCUCUGAGUUUUUCGCUGAGGCCGUGGCAGAGGACAGAGAGGAUGAGUGAUAUCCGAGCCUGCAGCACUCUGAGACGUGACCCUGUGACCCUGGGCUUAUGGACUGGAGGCUGGGAACAAAAAUGGUGGAUCAUGGAUAUGGAUUUCUGGAUUAUUAAAAAACAACAAAAAAACAAACAUGACCGCCAUUAGCCAAUCAGCUUUCAGACGGUGUUUCCCUGUGUUUCAGCUUCUGGAGAGGAGUAACUUCAUCCAGCAUUGCUUUAGUGUUCUGUGGAAUGUGACAGGAACCUGGAAAACAGGGCUGCAUCACACAACUUUCUUUCUUAAUCUCGUCAGUCCCACAUUUUUAACACUUUGCUUUCUCUGUUGCAUUUUAGAUGGUUGUAAUCUUCUCCAUAGAAUUAUAAUGCUUUAAUAAACAGACAGUAUAUUUAAGUAAGUAAUUAUUUGGAUUAAAAAAAUAGUUGCAUAAACCUCUACAGUACUGAAUACUAAACUCUGUGAAUACUGAACACUGUGUCAUGAAGGAAUAUUAAUUCUACAAAAUAUAUCUAUAUUUUUCUUAGCGUUUGUCCUGUGCAAUGGAAGGGUCCGCUGUUUUUGGUGGAUCAUUUGAUCCGCAUGAUUUGGCACAGGUUUUAUGCCUGAUGCCCUUCCUGUCGCAACCCUCCCAUUUUUAUCCAAGCUUGGGACCAGCACCAAGAGUUAAUUCUUCAGUGGCUGGGGUGGCGCACUGCCUGGGAAUCGAACCUGGGCCACAGCAAUGAGAACGCGGGAUCCUGCCACUGGACCACCAGGAGGCCAAUUCUAUAAAAUAUUAAAAUGUAAAAAUUACAAAACACAAUAACAGAUCUUGU